Molecule: ribosomal RNA, 253 nt
Filed under: uncultured bacterium
Lineage: Bacteria
Description: partial 16S ribosomal RNA
Rfam family: Bacterial small subunit ribosomal RNA
Source: RNAcentral
UACGAAGGGGGCUAGCGUUGCUCGGAAUCACUGGGCGUAAAGGGUGCGUAGGCGGGUCUUUAAGUCAGGGGGGAAAUCCUGGAGCUCAACUCCAGAACUGCCUUUGAUACUGAAGAUCUUGAGUUCGGGAGAGGUGAGUGGAACUGCGAGUGUAGAGGUGAAAUUCGUAGAUAUUCGCAAGAACACCAGUGGCGAAGGCGGCUCACUGGCCCGAUACUGACGCUGAGGAGCGAAAGCGUGGGGAGCAAACAGG